AUUGAACGCUGGCGGAAUGCUUUACACAUGCAAGUCGAACGGUAGAGGGGGCAACCCCUCGAGAGUGGCGAACGGGUGAGUAAUAUAUCGGUACGUGCCCAGUCGUGGGGGAUAACGUAGCGAAAGUUACGCUAAUACCGCAUACGAUCUAAGGAUGAAAGCGGGGGAUCGCAAGACCUCGCGCGAUUGGAGCGGCCGAUAUCAGAUUAGGUAGUUGGUGGGGUAAAGGCUCACCAAGCCAACGAUCUGUAGCUGGUCUGAGAGGACGACCAGCCACACUGGAACUGAGACACGGUCCAGACUCCUACGGGAGGCAGCAGUGGGGAAUUUUGGACAAUGGACGCAAGUCUGAUCCAGCCAUUCCGCGUGCAGGAUGAAGGCCCUCGGGUUGUAAACCGCUUUUGUACGGAACGAAAAGGUCUCUCUUAAUACGGGGGACUCAUGACGGUACCGUAAGAAUAAGCACCGGCUAACUACGUGCCAGCCGCCGCCGUAA
This 496-nucleotide ribosomal RNA is filed under the name uncultured bacterium. RNAcentral's name for it is "partial 16S ribosomal RNA". It matches the Rfam family "Bacterial small subunit ribosomal RNA", at positions 30 to 523 of the family's 1533-position model. The record is from RNAcentral.